GGAAAAAAAGGGUAAAAACCCGGCGAAAGGUUAAUUUUUUUUUUUCCUUCGGGGGUUUUUUUA
RNAcentral lists this transfer RNA (63 nucleotides) under Boodlea composita. RNAcentral describes it as "tRNA-Asn". Lineage: Eukaryota; Viridiplantae; Chlorophyta; Ulvophyceae; Cladophorales; Boodleaceae. The record is from RNAcentral.